RNAcentral lists this small nucleolar RNA (141 nucleotides) under Cyprinodon variegatus (sheepshead minnow). Lineage: Eukaryota; Metazoa; Chordata; Actinopteri; Cyprinodontiformes; Cyprinodontidae. The record is from RNAcentral.
UUGCACUAAAUGAUCUGGAAUGGUCUGUUUCUUUGCCAUUUCCGCAGGUCAAAAUGAGUGCUAGAUUAAAUAAAGUCCUGUCAUAACUGGAGUUUCUUGGCAUUUUUCUACCAAGAUGCUCUUUUAAAGCAUGACACAAAU